UGCUGCACAAAGCCUCGAGCCCGCG
This 25-nucleotide non-coding RNA is filed under the name Mus musculus (house mouse). The record is from RNAcentral. Lineage: Eukaryota; Metazoa; Chordata; Mammalia; Rodentia; Muridae.